GGAAAAAAAGAGAACGCUGUUUAAACAGAAACUAAAUGCAUACUUGCAAAAAUAUCAUGUUCAAGGAUAUAAUUUUCAAUUUGUGGGGUAAUAGAUUCUUGAUUCAAUGAUAAAUCUGACGUCCAUUCUCAGGUCAAAAAGGAAUUUUUUCCUAGUUUGUUGCAAAAGCAUAAGUGCUUCAAACUGGUUUUUUUGGGGGGGAUCAACAUCAAAAACAGAUGUGAGAAAGUCUG
This is a non-coding RNA of Pelobates cultripes (western spadefoot toad), 233 nucleotides long. NCBI's taxonomy places the organism in Eukaryota, Metazoa, Chordata, Amphibia, Anura, Pelobatidae. The record is from the annotation of a GenBank genome assembly.